Molecule: non-coding RNA, 29 nt
Filed under: Homo sapiens (human)
Lineage: Eukaryota; Metazoa; Chordata; Mammalia; Primates; Hominidae
Source: RNAcentral
AGCAUGGAUAACAGGUAGCUACCACUGGU